UAGCCUGAAAUGAUGUUACGAACUCAUGUCUCUUCUCUGAGAUGCAUCGUGGAGACAGCUGGAUGCACUUCUGAUCAGGCUU
Molecule: small nucleolar RNA, 82 nt
Organism: Phalacrocorax carbo (great cormorant)
Lineage: Eukaryota; Metazoa; Chordata; Aves; Suliformes; Phalacrocoracidae
Rfam family: Small nucleolar RNA SNORD111
About the family: The members of this family belong to the C/D class of snoRNAs which contain the C (UGAUGA) and D (CUGA) box motifs. Most of the members of the box C/D family function in directing site-specific 2'-O-methylation of substrate RNAs. HBII-82 (SNORD111) is predicted to guide the 2'O-ribose methylation of 28S rRNA G3923.
Source: Rfam